GACGAACGCUGGCGGCGUGCCUAAUACAUGCAAGUCGAACGCAGUGGGGACGGGUGAGGAACAAGUGGGUAACCUCCCAUCAGAGGGGAUAACACGUGGAAACAGGUGCUAAACCGAGACAGCUGGAUGGACCCGCGGCGCAUUGGCUAGUUGGUGAGGUAACGGCGCACCAAGGCCACGAUGCAUAGCCGUCCGGUGAGGGUGAUCGGCAAAGCUGGGACGGAGACCCGGCCCGGAGUCCGACGUGAGGCAGCAGUAGGGAAUCUUCGGCUAUGGACGAAAGUCUGACCGAGCAACGCGGCGUGAGUGAAGAGGGUUUGCGGGUAGUAAAACGCUGUUGUUAGAGGAGCGUUAUCUACCCAGAAAGCCACGGCUAACUACGUGCCAGCCGCCGCGGUAAUUC
RNAcentral lists this ribosomal RNA (403 nucleotides) under uncultured bacterium. RNAcentral's name for it is "partial 16S ribosomal RNA". It matches the Rfam family "Bacterial small subunit ribosomal RNA", at positions 28 to 526 of the family's 1533-position model. The record is from RNAcentral.